This 253-nucleotide ribosomal RNA is filed under the name uncultured bacterium. Its description in RNAcentral is "partial 16S ribosomal RNA". It matches the Rfam family "Bacterial small subunit ribosomal RNA", at positions 524 to 776 of the family's 1533-position model. The record is from RNAcentral.
UACGUAGGGUGCAAGCGUUGUCCGGAAUUAUUGGGCGUAAAGAGCUCGUAGGCGGUCUGUCGCGUCGGCUGUGAAAUCCCGAGGCUCAACCUCGGGUCUGCAGUCGAUACGGGCAAACUGGAGUGUUGCAGGGGAGACUGGAAUUCCUGGUGUAGCGGUGAAGUGCGCAGAUAUCAGGAGGAACACCGGUGGCGAAGGCGGGUCUCUGGGCAACAACUGACGCUGAGGAGCGAAAGCGUGGGGAGCGAACAGG